AAAUUUAUUAAACAAGCUCGUGAACAAAAUUAAUGAGCAGUUGGUGAGCAAAAAUUUGUGAGACACGUUCGUGAGCGUAAGUUAAUGAGCGGUUCGUGAGCAAAAGCUCGUGAGACAUGUUCAUGAGCGGUUCGCGAGCCGUUCGUGAACAGAGUUAUUCCUUAAUGAGUCGAUACUCAAACAGUAUUUUUGGCUCGAUCCAAGCUCGAGCUCGAGUUCGAGUUCGCUAAUUUUUUAACAAACGAUACACGAGCACUCUAGGGUUCGGCUCGG
Molecule: long non-coding RNA, 273 nt
Filed under: Daucus carota (carrot)
Lineage: Eukaryota; Viridiplantae; Streptophyta; Magnoliopsida; Apiales; Apiaceae
Description: long non-coding RNA (DCAR_LNC000146)
Source: RNAcentral